CUUCCCUUCUCUUCCCUUCCUUUCCCUUCCCUUUCUUUAUAAGAAAUAACCCUCCCAAGCAGAGAAGAAAAAAGGCACUCAGGAUUUUUGUGGACGUAGACAAGAGGUUUUUCCUUUUUUAGGUGAAGGGAAAAUUAAAAUAAAAAUAGUAUGACUCCUUCCCUUAUUCAAUCAUUUUUAAUACCAGAGUCUUAAAAUCUGGUUUGGAAGAGUGAACAUUCACUGCAGAAAUAUCUAAGCAUGAAUUUUUUUUGCACUUGUCCUGGAUAAGUGACACUAACACCCUCCUGAAUACUUUUCCGAUACAUGGAAGGCUGUUGAUUGCCAGUUCAUAGAUGCUGGGGCCAUUUUGUUUGUUUCUUUAGAUGGUGUUAAUGUUGCUGCCAUCUCACAGUAAAACACCAUGCUGUUGCUAACUAAGAAUUCACUGGAACACUCAAUUACUGAAAAACAGUUUCAGAAAUCCUUCUGAUUCAUGAAUGUAGCUGUGCUGAUUAGGGGUGGUAACAACACAACCAUAGCCAGCUUCCUCUCUGUCAAUAAAUCUGUAGUUUCAGUCUGGAUGAGUAACACUAUCUAGCUUCUGAUAUUGUUCCAUUGUUUGGCACUCAGGUGUAAUGUGAACCCGGCUGCUGAUGGUCAGUGAAAGCGAUGCCAACCUAUGUUUUGGUCAGCUUAUUGUUGUGCAUCGUACUCCAGCAAACUGUUUACCUUUGUAAUGUAAGGUGUCCUCACCUUCUCCUGUGGCUUCAGCUUGCGUUUGAUGAACUAUUACGUCUUCCAGGGAUUUCCAAUUUGUUUGUUUUGAAAGUGUAUUUCAUAUGUGUGAUAAACAAGCAACAGAUUAAAAAGAAAAUCCAACAUUUAUGAGUUGCAUAUUGUGAUCCACCAAACAGCUCUGAACUGCAAGUCACAGGAAGCAGGGUUGGGAAAAUCUGUUUGCUCUUCAGCCCCUGUCAGUGUUCAGAUACUUCUCUACAGGAUACUGUCAAGUGCUUUUUCCAGCCCACGGUUAACUAGCAUGUUCCGACCAGCCAGAUUAAACAUUCCCAUGUGGGUUGAGCGGGGUGUCUAUUGCAAUAAAGGCUGUGAAUACCCUUGAGCUCAGCUAGCUUUCUCUGGGCUUUGCUGCCUUGUUGGCUGGUGCCAGCAAAGGAAAAUCAAUACAGAACACGUAAAUUUGCUGGCCAGAGGUCUGGAAUAACUCCUGAUGCAAAGAAGGAAGAUAGAGACCCCAUUUCUGUAAGAAUUUUUUCCAGUAUUUAAAUUUAAAUGGGGUUAAUUUGGGAACAGAAAGUUCUAGAAUGGGCAUAUCUGUUUCCAGGAAAGAAAGAAAAAAGCAUGUAUUUCUCAAUCAGCUAAAAUGUCCCUGGCCAUAUGUAUUGGCAUUCUGACACCUCUUUCCACACAAAACUAGCCCUGGAUGUAAGAAUGCAAGUAUUUUUUCCUUUUUUUUUUUUUUCUGCUUAAAGUUAAGUCUAGAAAUAAAUCUUUUUGGGAUCCAAAUCCUGUUAAAUAGUUUGUGGUGCUGGGGUUUGAUGGACUGCACAGAAGAAAUCUUGACAGUUUCAGAUUUGACGUAAUUAACUGUUAGGUGGGAGAAAAUACUCUGUGACUUUGCUCCUCUUAGACUUUGUAUGGGCAAACCCUAAAAUGGAAUGGCUCGUGUGCUUGAUAUAAAGUAGAAGGGUAAGUAAUGGCUGUUAACAUGGUCAGAUUAAGGAAAUAUAGGUCAGACCUAUAGAGAUUUUAAAGAGAAUCUGUUCGUUUUCAUCAGAAACAUAACAGUUAAGAACUGCCGUCGCUUCUGUGUGUACAACAUCCCAUUCAAAAGCAGGAUAAUCACACGUCUGGACACACCUUUUUCCACCUAGCAAUGUUCUACUGUCAGAAAAGGAAGAAGGUAAGUGUUCAUCCUGCACUCCCAGCUGUUAGACAGAUGUCCCAAGUCCCAUAAACAAAGCCAUGGUGGCUGCGGAGAAUAACAGUGCAAAGGGUGUGCAACGAGUCCAAUGUGUCUGGGAUGUGCUAAGCAUCCCUCUCUUCAGCUGCUGGAUUGAUCUGCAUGCCCACACCAAGCACCAAGCUGUUCCAGCACUGCGUGAGCUCAUUGUGUUGAGAUUUCCCAGAUGGAAGAAUGGGAGCAUGAGGUGGAUGGGCAUGCAGAAAAAAAGCCUGCGUGACUCUUCUCACAAGCCUGAGCAAGGAAUGGGGGGAAAAAAUCACCGCUGUCUCUGUCUUUUGCAUGCAGCAGCUGUGAACCUAAAGAUUGUGAGCUUCUUGAUGGUCUGUGACUGUUCCUAUGUGGUUGUUGAAAGAUGUUCACUGGCAUAGGGUUCAAGUCACUACAGAGCGAUCUGCAGCUCCACUGGAAAUUUUCUAUGGGAUGAAAACUGUAAAACCCUGAAAAUAAGAGUUAGGUUAACGUGGAAAAUGCUGGAGUGAUCUGGUGUCACACACUUUACUGUGCCUGAUUGUAGAAUUUGGGUUUUGGCACAACUUGAUGUUGUUUUAUGUGGUGUUCUACUUACUUGAAAGAUGGUUACAUACAUACAUGUAUCUUUAUGUCUGCGACUUAUACUGUAAAAAUCUCCAUAACAAAUAUUUUGAGGUAUGUAUGCAUGCACAAAUAUAUACAUGCACACACACA
Coturnix japonica (Japanese quail) is the source of this 2650-nucleotide non-coding RNA. NCBI's taxonomy places the organism in Eukaryota, Metazoa, Chordata, Aves, Galliformes, Phasianidae. The record is from RefSeq and is a predicted model, not a curated record.